AUUCUUUUUCCCAGAAUCAGAAGUAGUCAUAGUAACAUCCUUGAAAAAUUUGAGAUCAGAAGGCAAUCUCCAUGGUAGCUUCCCAUCCUUGCCAAUACCCAUAUCACCAGCCACAACAACUUGAUAAGUUCUUUGAGGAGCAGGCUGUAUAUUGGCAUUGCCAUUAGAAAGAUUUGCCUUGGAGUCACCAGCCAUAAUUGAAAAGAAAGCCCAACAGAAAUUUCUUGAACUUUUGUGGAAGUGCAAUAGAACUGAUCUAAGACUUAAUCGAGAAAUCUUGAGAUCGGAAAAUGUCCAACUAGACUUGAAAAGGGAAAAUCAAAACGAACAGAGCAAGUGUGGAGCAAAGUUCGCCUUCUAAAACUAGGGUUUUCGGUGAUAAAAACAAGAGUGGAUUGUGAGAUGAAAGCAAGUAGAGUAGAGUAUAGAGUAGAAG
Molecule: unclassified non-coding RNA, 436 nt
Filed under: Hevea brasiliensis (rubber tree)
Lineage: Eukaryota; Viridiplantae; Streptophyta; Magnoliopsida; Malpighiales; Euphorbiaceae
Source: RNAcentral